This 463-nucleotide ribosomal RNA is filed under the name uncultured bacterium. RNAcentral's name for it is "partial 16S ribosomal RNA". It matches the Rfam family "Bacterial small subunit ribosomal RNA", at positions 28 to 507 of the family's 1533-position model. The record is from RNAcentral.
GACGAACGCUGGCGGCGUGCUUAACACAUGCAAGUCGAACGGUAAGGCCCUUCGGGGUACACGAGUGGCGAACGGGUGAGUAACGCGUGAGUAACCUGCCCUUCACUCUGGGAUAACAGUUGGAAACGGCUGCUAAUACCGGAUAUUCAGCUCCUGUCGCAUGGUGGGGGCUGGAAAGUUUUGGUGGUGGAGGAUGGGCUCGCGUCCUAUCAGCUUGUUGGUGGGGUGAUGGCCUACCAAGGCGUCGACGGGUAGCCGGCCUGAGAGGGCGACCGGCCACAUUGGGACUGAGAUACGGCCCAAACUCCUACGGGAGGCAGCAGUGGGGAAUAUUGCACAAUGGGCGGAAGCCUGAUGCAGCAACGCCGCGUGCGGGAUGACGGCCUUCGGGUUGUAAACCGCUUUCAGCAGGGACGAAGCGCAAGUGACGGUACCUGCAGAAGAAGCACCGGCUAACUACGUG